Molecule: ribosomal RNA, 232 nt
Filed under: Cortinarius brunneovernus
Lineage: Eukaryota; Fungi; Basidiomycota; Agaricomycetes; Agaricales; Cortinariaceae
Description: partial 28S ribosomal RNA
Rfam family: Eukaryotic large subunit ribosomal RNA
Source: RNAcentral
UGUGACCUCAAAUCAGGUAGGACUACCCGCUGAACUUAAGCAUAUCAAUAAGCGGAGGAAAAGAAACUAACAAGGAUUCCCCUAGUAACUGCGAGUGAAGCGGGAAAAGCUCAAAUUUAGAAUCUGGCGGUCUUUUGGUCGUCCGAGUUGUAAUCUAGAGAAGUGCUAUCCGCGCUGGACCAUGUACAAGUCUCCUGGAAUGGAGCAUCAUAGAGGGUGAGAAUCCCGUCUU